GGGGAAUUUUCCGCAAUGGGCGAAAGCCUGACGGAGCAAUACCGCGUGAGGGAGGAAGGCUCUUGGGUUGUAAACCUCUUUUCUCAAGGAAGAACACAAUGACGGUACUUGAGGAAUAAGCAUCGGCUAACUCCGUGCCAGCAGCCGCGGUAAUACGGAGGAUGCAAGCGUUAUCCGGAAUGAUUGGGCGUAAAGCGUCCGCAGGUGGCUGUGUAAGUCUGCUGUUAAAUAGUGAGGCUCAACCUCAUAAAGGCAGUGGAAACUACACGGCUAGAGUGCGUUCGGGGCAGAGGGAAUUCCUGGUGUAGCGGUGAAAUGCGUAGAGAUCAGGAAGAACACCGGUGGCGAAAGCGCUCUGCUAGGCCGCAACUGACACUGAGGGACGAAAGCUAGGGGGAGCGAAUGGGAUUAGAUACCCCAGUAGUCCUAGCCGUAAACGAUGGAUACUAGGCGUGGCUUGUAUCGACCCGAGCCGUGCCGUAGCUAACGCGUUAAGUAUCCCGCCUGGGGAGUACGCAGGCAACUGUGAAACUCAAAGGAAUUGACGGGGGCCCGCACAAGCGGUGGAGUAUGUGGUUUAAUUCGAUGCAACGCGAAGAACCUUACCAGGACUUGACAUGUCGCGAAUCCUUGCGAAAGCAGGGAGUGCCUUCGGGAGCGCGAACACAGGUGGUGCAUGGCUGUCGUCAGCUCGUGUCGUGAGAUGUUGGGUUAAGUCCCGCAACGAGCGCAACCCUCGUUUUUAGUUGCCAUCAUUAAGUUGGGCACUCUAGAGAGACUGCCGGUGACAAACCGGAGGAAGGUGGGGAUGACGUCAAGUCAGCAUGCCCCUUACGUUCUGGGCUACACACGUACUACAAUGCUACGGACAAAGGGCAGCUACACAGCGAUGUGAUGCUAAUCUCAGAAACCGUAGCUCAGUUCAGAUCGCAGGCUGCAACUCGCCUGCGUGAAGGAGGAAUCGCUAGUAAUUGCAGGUCAGCAUACUGCAGUGAAUUCGUUCCCGGGCCUUGUACACACCGCCCGUCACACCAUGGAAGCUGGUAGUGCCCGAAGUCAUUACCCCAACGAUUCGUCGAGGGGGAUGCCUAAGGCAGGACUGGUGACUGGGGUGAAGUCGUAACAAGGUAGCCGUACCGGAAGGUGUGGCUGGAUCACCUCCU
This 1163-nucleotide ribosomal RNA is filed under the name Rexia erecta CAT4-SG4. RNAcentral describes it as "bacterial SSU rRNA". It matches the Rfam family "Bacterial small subunit ribosomal RNA", at positions 356 to 1531 of the family's 1533-position model. Lineage: Bacteria; Bacillati; Cyanobacteriota; Cyanophyceae; Nostocales; Tolypothrichaceae. The record is from RNAcentral.